AUACGUAGGGGACAAGCGUUGUCCGGAUUUACUGGGCGUAAAGGGCACGCAGGCGGUUUUUUUAAGUCAGAUGUGAAAGGUACCGGCUCAACCGGUGACAUGCAUUUGAAACUGAAAGACUUGAGUAUUGGAGAGGCAAGUGGAAUUCCUAGUGUAGCGGUGAAAUGCGUAGAUACCUUAGGAGGAACACCGGUGGCGAAGGCGGCUUGCUGGACAAAUACUGACGCUGAGGUGCGAAAGCGUGGGGAGC
RNAcentral lists this ribosomal RNA (250 nucleotides) under uncultured bacterium. Its description in RNAcentral is "partial 16S ribosomal RNA". It matches the Rfam family "Bacterial small subunit ribosomal RNA", at positions 523 to 769 of the family's 1533-position model. The record is from RNAcentral.